CCGGCGACCGGCGCACGGGUGAGUAACACGUAUGCAACCUGGCCGUGACAGAUGGAUAACCGGGAGAAAUCCCGCCUAAUACAGCAUGACGCCGGGAAGGGGCAUCCCUUUCCGGCCAAAGGGGGCGACUCCGGUCACGGAUGGGCAUGCGGCGCAUUAGGUAGUUGGUGGGGCAACGGCCCACCAAGCCGACGAUGCGUAGGGGUUCUGAGAGGAAGGUCCCCCACAUUGGAACUGAGACACGGUCCAAACUCCUACGGGAGGCAGCAG
Molecule: ribosomal RNA, 270 nt
Filed under: uncultured bacterium
Lineage: Bacteria
Description: partial 16S ribosomal RNA
Rfam family: Bacterial small subunit ribosomal RNA
Source: RNAcentral